RNAcentral lists this unclassified non-coding RNA (267 nucleotides) under Hevea brasiliensis (rubber tree). Lineage: Eukaryota; Viridiplantae; Streptophyta; Magnoliopsida; Malpighiales; Euphorbiaceae. The record is from RNAcentral.
UUCUGAAGCAACAAUUUUGGUUCUUUUUCAUGAUAUGCUUUAGAUAUUGGUGAAGAAUGAAUUUUCAAUUUUUACAUUGGGAAAUCUCAUGUUUAAGUUAUGGCUAUCAAUGCUUAUAUGCUUAGAUAUUAGUCUAUUACUUUUGACAUUUAGAAAUUCCUUCUUUAGUAGUGGCUUCCUAGAUCAGGGGGAAAUGCUAAUCUAUGUAUCUAGUCCAUCUGUCCAUGGUCUGUAGGUUUUUAAUUAUUGAUUGUUUAGCAAAAUUAG